GACUGACAAAUAAAAUCUUUGGUGUUCAUAACAGAUUUUAUAUUUCAAUUAUUGCUUAUGAUCAAGACUCCUCCUAAAACUUAUAAUUUGUUAUUCAACAUCUCCACUCACUAUCUCAGAUGUUCCUGGGCGAAAUUGUUCCAGUAAUUGCAUACAACAAGCAUAUAAAUAUUCUUAACCUAAAGGUAAAUAUAACAAAGAGAAGAUAAACAUAUAAUUCCAAAAAGGAAUACUAAUUAUACAGAAGUUUGAGACAUUUGUACCAAACAAACACUCUUUAUAAGGUCAAAGAGCUUUGUGAAAUAAUGCUUGUAUACA
RNAcentral lists this unclassified non-coding RNA (318 nucleotides) under Hevea brasiliensis (rubber tree). The record is from RNAcentral. Lineage: Eukaryota; Viridiplantae; Streptophyta; Magnoliopsida; Malpighiales; Euphorbiaceae.